AUUAUAUUAGAAAUGAGAAGUUUUACGGUUUUAAUAAUAUCUAUUUUAUUUUUAAAAUUUAAUA
This 64-nucleotide transfer RNA is filed under the name Lophogaster typicus. Its description in RNAcentral is "tRNA-Ile". The record is from RNAcentral. Lineage: Eukaryota; Metazoa; Arthropoda; Malacostraca; Lophogastrida; Lophogastridae.